Molecule: long non-coding RNA, 1414 nt
Filed under: Heterocephalus glaber (naked mole-rat)
Lineage: Eukaryota; Metazoa; Chordata; Mammalia; Rodentia; Bathyergidae
Description: lncRNA (ENSHGLG00100042435.1)
Source: RNAcentral
CCUUCCUGCCCUGUGGGAUGAAAAAGAAGGUGUGGGCUUGCAGGGGAGCUUUUAAAGUUAGUGAGAUGUGUGUGUACCUGGUGUGGUAACACAGUGACCCUACAGGGAUAUAUAUGUUUUUAUUUUAUAAACUAAAUGACUGUUUUCUCUUACUGUAGGUAGCUGCCCCAUCCAUGUCCCCUCUACAUUUUGUUGAACAUUCAAAUGAGCAUGGGCUGUAACUUGUGGAGAGACUGCAAGUCCUGCUCUCCUGAGGUCUCCUUUCUGAAGAAAGCCUUCUAGAAGAUUGAAUGCGACACAGUAACAAUGUCACAGAAUUUCUCCUCCUGGGCCUCACUCAGGAUCCCAGUGCAAAAACAGCAUUAUUUGUCAUGUUUUUACUCAUCUACUCUGUGACAAUGCUGGACCACCUGCUCAUCAUGGGAGCUACCUGAGACAUCGGGAGUUAUCCUCAGUGAAAGAGACCUUGAGUUUUCCAGACAUAGGAACAGAUGCAAAAUGUGAAAACAUAGAACAACUGAUAGUGGAUACUCGCUGAAAAUGCCUGUGACACACAAAAAUCCACUACUGCCUUACACUUUCAUGGGGAAGCAAAACCAGCUGCUUCCAUUGCUGGCUUAUUUUUGCAGUCACCAGCAAUGUUUCCAGUAUGAACAUCUUUGACAGGCACAUUCUUGACACCGGAACUCAUACUCUAUUAUUUCAUUAUUUCUGCUAUGAGCUGAUUUCAUUUCCUAAAUUUUGGUGUAAAUUUUGGUUAUUUAUGUGAGUUCCUUUUUAAGUACAGAUUUUUGUUGCAAUAAAGUUUAGUCUUUGUACUGUAUUUCCUUUGUACUUCUUUGUGCUCUAUGUUUUACAUAGUGUGAAUAUAAGAAUGUCAGCAACUAAAUGGCAAGAAAAAAGUAAAUAAAGAAGGAGACAUGAGAAAAUUGUGUCAAUAGAAAUUUUCAAAAGAAAACAUACAAGUGGCCAAGAGUUACGUAAAAGGCAGUCAAUGUUACUAAUUGUCAGGGCAAAUCCAAGUCAAAGCACAGGGAGAUAUGACCUCACAUCUGUUACAGCAGUUGUUAUAAAAAUGACAAAGAUAACAAAUUUGGUCAGGAUGUGGAGAAAGAAACGCUGUACACUGUUGGAAAUCUCAACUGGUACAGUUAAAGAAGACUGUAUGGAGGUUCCCCUCAAAAUUAAAAGUAGAACUACAACAUCAAGCAGCAAAACUACUUCUGGGUAUUUAUCCAAGAGAAAUAAAAAAAUUGAUCUCAAAGUGAUCUUAACACUACAGCAUUUAUCACAAGAAUCAAUAUAUAAGAACACUAAAGUGUCCAUCACUUAAUGAAUGGAUAAACAAAAUGUGAUGCACAAAAAUGUAUACUAUAAUCCCAUUGUUAUAUGUGUGUCAUUAUUUACAUGUAAG